UUAUCAAUAGUGAGGGUUGGCACCUCGAUGUUGGCUUAGGGAAUCUAUACGGCGCAAAAGUCGUAUAAAGAUGGUUUGUUCAACCAAUAAUACCCUACAUGAGCUGAGUUCAGACCGGCGUAAGCCAGGUUAGUUUCUAUCCUCGACAUAAUAAAUCUAUUUAUAGUACGAAAGGACCUAAAUAAGAAUAAUACUUAUAGAUAAAGAAUAAAUAUAAUACUUAUAUAACUCAAAAAUACAUAAACUAUG
This 249-nucleotide ribosomal RNA is filed under the name Imetescolex patriarchalis. RNAcentral's name for it is "Helodrilus patriarchalis partial 16S ribosomal RNA". The stretch from base 1 to 144 matches the Rfam family "Bacterial large subunit ribosomal RNA", at positions 2502 to 2645 of the family's 2925-position model. The record is from RNAcentral. Lineage: Eukaryota; Metazoa; Annelida; Clitellata; Crassiclitellata; Lumbricidae.